RNAcentral lists this ribosomal RNA (422 nucleotides) under uncultured bacterium. RNAcentral's name for it is "bacterial SSU rRNA". It matches the Rfam family "Bacterial small subunit ribosomal RNA", at positions 508 to 927 of the family's 1533-position model. The record is from RNAcentral.
GCAGCAGCCGCGGUAAGACGUAGGAGGCGAGCGUUGUCCGGAUUCAUUGGGCGUAAAGAGCACGCAGGCGGUUCGGCAAGUCGGUUGUGAAAUCCCAGGGCUCAACCCUGGGACUGCGUCCGAAACUGCCGGACUAGAGGUAGGUAGGGGAGAUCGGAAUUCCUGGUGUAGCGGUGAAAUGCGCAGAUAUCAGGAGGAACACCGGUGGCGAAGGCGGAUCUCUGGGCCUUACCUGACGCUCAGGUGCGAAAGCUAGGGGAGCGAACAGGAUUAGAUACCCUGGUAGUCCUAGCCGUAAACGUUGGGUGCUAGGUGUGGGCGGACAUCAACCCCGUCCGUGCCGAAGCUAACGCAUUAAGCACCCCGCCUGGGGAGUACGGCCGCAAGGCUAAAACUCAAAGGAAUUGACGGGGGCCCGCACA